Molecule: long non-coding RNA, 2757 nt
Organism: Macaca mulatta (Rhesus monkey)
Lineage: Eukaryota; Metazoa; Chordata; Mammalia; Primates; Cercopithecidae
Source: Ensembl
GGACUGUUACUCAGUACUAAAAAUAAACGAGUUAUAACUCUGUAACUUUAUAAAGCCAUGAAAAGAAAAGGAAGAAACUUCAAUGCAUUAUUACUAAAUGAAAGAAGCCAAUCUGAAAAUGUCUAUGUACUGUAUGAUUCCAACUAUAUGACAUUCUGGGAAAGGCAAAACUAUGGAGAUAGUAAAAGGAUCAGUGGUUACCUGAGGUUAGGAGGAAAGGGAAAAAAAACGUGGAGCAUGGGAGAUUUUUAGGGCAGUGAAGCUACUCUGUGUGGUACUGCAAUGGUGGAUACAUAUAGUCAUAUAUUUGUCCAAACCCUUAGAAUGUACAACCCUGAGAGUGAGCCCUAAUGUAAACUAUGGACUUUGGGUGGUAAUGAUGUGUCAAUGUAGGUUCAUCAAUUGUAACAAAUUUACCCCUCUAAUGAGGAUGUUGGUAGUGGAGGAGGUUGGUGGGGGAAGGGGUAUAUGGAAACUCUAUACUUUCUUCUCAUUUCUUGUGAUCCAACAACUGAUUUUUAAAAAAGCCUUUGGGGGAAAAGUAACUACCAUUUAUUGGGCUGUAUCUAUGCUCAAUGGGGUCUUUAUUCUGCAUAGGGACCGUGUUUCCCCACCGAGACAUCUGGAAGCAGAUCUUCAGCCUCUUUCUUUUGAUAUCAGGUUGCACAACAUGGCUGGACAUACUUUGGGAUGUAAAAAGGAAUACAGAGCAAAAUUUUUGCUGUUGGUACAGAGGCUUCAGAUCAAAUUGACACUGCCCGCUGGGAUCCCAAGAGGAUACUCAAAAUGGAGAGACUUGCCAUGGUCCCCAUUUGUGGUAAAGAAGUAAAAUACUUGGCCAGAAUCACCAAUUGCAGUUAGUGACUGAGCCAGACUCCUGAUAAUUGGUACUGCACUGUUUAAUAGCAGUAAAACAUUCAAAUCUCACCUCUCUCACCUCCUUUACAUCUUUGUUCAAAUGUUAAUUUCUCAGUUAGGCAAACCCUGAGGGUUUCAUUUAAAAUAACACUUCCUUCUCCAACCAUUCACCCUGUUCUGUGGCUCUUCACCGCAUUUACUCCUUUCUUUUCUUCUUUUUUUUUUUUUUAAUUGUACUUUAAGUUCUGGGAUACAUGUGUAGAAUGUGCAGUUUUGUAACAUACGUUAUACAAUUUCUACAUACAUUAUACAAUUUCUAGUAUGUUACACAAUUUCUAGUAUGUUACACAAUUAAAUGAUUUGUUGUGUUUCUAACUUACCCCUUGAUCCAUAAUGGAAGCUAGAGUAGAAAUAUUUUUGUCAGCUUUCUUUUCUUUUCUUUUCUCUUUUCUUUUUUUUUCUUUCCUUUUUUUUUUUUUUUUUUUUUUUUUUUUGAGACAGAGUCUAGCUCUGUCACACAGGCUGGGGUGCAGUGGCCAAUCUCGGCUCACUGCAGCCUCCACCUCCCGAGUUCAAGAAGUUUUCCUGGCUCAGCCUCAGCCUCCCGAGUAACUGGGAUUACAGGCACUCGCCACCAUGCUCAACUAAUUUUUGUGUUUUUAGGAGAGCUGGGGUUUCGCCAUGUUUGCCAGAUGGGUCUUGAACUCCUGACCUCAGGCGAUCUGCCUGCCUCGGCCUCCCAAAGUGUUGGUAUUACAGGUGUGAGCCACUGCGCUCAGCCAUUUUUGUCAGUUUUCUUCACACAUAUACAGUCCAGAUGUUUUCAAGGGUGACUGGCACUAAGUGGAUAUUUAAAAAUUAUAUUUAUUGAAUUAAUUAAAAGGUACAGCUAUUUGAAAGCAUAAGAAAAUGAAACAACACUUUUAUAGUCACAGAAUUUAGUUGGAUUUUAGAAACUAUUAAAUCGUAGCUUUUUCACUUUUCAUCAUUUUAAAAUUCCUGAAGCUAAUCAAUGAGCAAAACAUUAGUAGUACUGCUACUUUAUGUAACUUAUGUAGCACACUGAGCUAUUUGGCAAAAAAUGACUCUAAAACAUAAUAUAUGUUAACAUAUGUAAAGUGGAUAGUGACUGAUUUUCAAAACAUUAUUCAUACAUGUGUGACUUUAAUUAGGAAGCUAUAAUAGAUACACUAUGAAUUUUCAUGAAGAAAAAAACCAGCAUCUGGACUUGAGAUUCUACACAAAGAAAAAGCUGGAUUUCUUCCUUCUUUUCCAGAGUAUAUAGAACCUACAUUUCCUCCAGUUAGAAUUUUCUCAGAAAUAGCAAAAUAAAACUCUAGUAAACGCAAUAAGCUUUCACUGCCAGUUUUAACAAUGGUAAUUCAACGCUUAUAAAAAAGGACCAUGAUUCCACAUUUUUAAUUUCCUCACAGAACUAUAACCUGAAAAUAUUUUAUAUACGUUACUAUUUUGCACUUGUAGUUUUUAAAGAUACUAACUUGUUAGAAGUAUAUUUAUCUGAAGAUGUUCAUCUUUUUUGCUGUUUCUUUUAAAUUUUUUCAGCUGUAAACCUUCUGAGAUUUGAGGUUUUUAAUACUGUCAAAAAACACUUCAAGAAACAUUAUUCUCCUAAAUUUAUAGAAAAUAUUUCAAGAGAUCAUAUUAGAUAAUUUUGUAUUAGAUAUUCAUAAAGAAUUUUCUUUCAUAAAAGAAACAGAUUUUGCCAUUUUAUAAGUGCAUAGAAAAGCAGUAACUGUUUUUAAUUUACCAACAUUUCUUUUUGGCUGCUAGAACACUUAUAUCUGACUUAAUAAAAUAAUUACUAAGUGUCUUGUAAUUGUUUCUUUAAUGUAUCACCUCUCCCAAAACUUUGAAAUCACCUGGAAGACAAUAAACUGC